This 549-nucleotide ribosomal RNA is filed under the name uncultured bacterium. RNAcentral's name for it is "partial 16S ribosomal RNA". It matches the Rfam family "Bacterial small subunit ribosomal RNA", at positions 355 to 897 of the family's 1533-position model. The record is from RNAcentral.
UAGGGAAUCUUCCACAAUGGACGCAAGUCUGAUGGAGCAACGCCGCGUGAGUGAAGAAGGUUUUCGGACCGUAAAGCUCUGUUGUUGGUGAAGAAGGAUAGAGGUAGUAACUGGCCUUUAUUUGACGGUAAUCAACCAGAAAGUCACGGCUAACUACGUGCCAGCAGCCGCGGUAAUCGUAGGUGGCAAGCGUUGUCCGGAUUUAUUGGGCGUAAAGCGAGCGCAGGCGGAAGAAUAAGUCUGAUGUGAAAGCCCUCGGCUUAACCGAGGAAUUGCAUCGGAAACUGUUUUCUUGAGUGCAGAAGAGGAGAGUAGAACUCCAUGUGUAGCGGUGGAAUGCGUAGAUAUAUGGAAGAAUACCAGUGGCGAAGGCGGCUCUCUGGUCUGCAACUGACGCUGAGGCUCGAAAGCAUGGGUAGCGAACAGGAUUAGAUACCCUGGUAGUCCAUGCCGUAAACGAUGAGUGCUAAGUGUUGGGAGGCUUCCGCCUCUCAGUGCUGCAGCUAACGCAUUAAGCACUCCGCCUGGGGAGUACGACCGCAAGGCUGA